UUCAUCGCGUGAAAAAGCCAGUUUCGUGUCUGGUGUAGAAUGGAGAAGGUUGUGUCGCUUAUUGCUCUUCUUUUAGUGUGCAGUCCUGUGGUGCAGAUGUUAUCAACGCGAAUAAACGCAGAUCACGUUUGUCCUCCAAGAAAGAUUUUCGACGAACAGCUCAACAGAUGUGUGGCUUCAUCAUCAGAUGAGGUCAACGUUACAGUCUCAAGCAACAGUGAGGACCAAGUUAACUUGUUUUUAACAAAAGUACCAGAGCGGAAAUGCUCAGAGGGACAAAUUUUCUCGAAAAGAUUGAUGAAGUGCAUCAAUGUGAUUGGCUGAUAGGACGAUUGGUGCCAGCCCUGCAAUCAGACGGCGCGACCCAUCCCCACCUCCAGCUGCCCCUCGCGUUCAAGCAGUUAAUGGAUGUCAUUUUUUAAAAUUUUGUUUGUUUAUUUGUUUUAAUAAUCUUGCCUGUAAUAUCUUUAUCAUGAGAGCAAUAAAAUUUUUACGGUGGA
Molecule: long non-coding RNA, 500 nt
Organism: Cloeon dipterum
Lineage: Eukaryota; Metazoa; Arthropoda; Insecta; Ephemeroptera; Baetidae
Exons: 3
Source: RefSeq, a predicted model, not a curated record